CCUACGGGAGGCAGCAGUCGAGAAUCAUUCACAAUGGGGGAAACCCUGAUGGUGCGACGCCGCGUGGGGGAAUGAAGUUCUUCGGAUUGUAAACCCCUGUCAUGUGGGAGCAAAUUAAAAAGAUAGUACCACAAUAGGCAGAGACGGCUAACUCUGUGCCAGCAGCCGCGGUAAUACAGAGGUCUCAAGCGUUGUUCGUAAUCACUGGGCGUAAAGCGUGCGUAGGCUGUUUCGUAAGUCGUGUGUGAACGGCGCGGGCUCAACCCGCGGACGGCACAUGAUACUGCGGGACUAGAGUAAAGGAGGGGGAACCGGAAUUCUCGGUGUAGCAGUGAAAUGCGUAGAUA
Molecule: ribosomal RNA, 347 nt
Filed under: uncultured bacterium
Lineage: Bacteria
Description: partial 16S ribosomal RNA
Rfam family: Bacterial small subunit ribosomal RNA
Source: RNAcentral